CUUUGGCUGGGAUGCUGGAGGUGAAACCUGGGGACCGCAAGGCCAGGGGCAAGGAGAGGAUCCUGCGUCUGAUUAGCUAGUUGGCGGGGUAAUGGCCCACCAAGGCGACGAUCAGUAGCCGGCCUGAGAGGGUGAUCGGCCACACUGGAACUGAGACACGGUCCAGACUCCUACGGGAGGCAGCAGUGGGGAAUUUUGCGCAAUGGACGAAAGUCUGACGCAGCAACGCCGCGUGGGUGAUGAAGGUCUUCGGACUGUAAAACCCUGUCGUCAGGGACGAAGGUGCUUACGUUAAUAGCGUGAGUACUUGACGGUACCUGGAGAGGAAGCCCCGGCUAACUCUGUGCCAGCAGCCGCGGUAAUACAGAGGGGGCAAGCGUUAUUCGGAAUUAUUGGGCGUAAAGGGCGCGUAGGCGGUUUUUUAAGUCAGAUGUGUAAUCCCCGAGCUCAACUUGGGAACUGCAUCUGAGACUGGAAGGCUAGAGUACUGGAGAGGGUGGUGGAAUUCCUCGUGUAGCGGUGAAAUGCGUAGAGAUGAGGAGGAACACCAGUGGCGAAGGCGGCCACCUGGACAGUAACUGACGCUGAGGCGCGAAAGUGUGGGUAGCAAACAGGAUUAGAUACCCUGGUAGUCCACGCUGUAAACGAUGAACACUUGGUGUGGAGGGAGUUGACCCCUUCCGUGCCGGAGCUAACGCGUUAAGUGUUCCGCCUGGGGAGUACGGUCGCAAGGCUGAAACUCAAAGGAAUUGACGGGGGCCCGCACAAGCGGUGGAGCAUGUGGUUUAAUUCGACGCAACGCGAAGAACCUUACCUGGGCUUGAACUGCUAUGGACCGGUGCAGAGAUGUGCCUUUUCGCAGAACUGUAGCAGAGUGCUGCAUGGCUGUCGUCAGCUCGUGUCGU
Molecule: ribosomal RNA, 905 nt
Filed under: uncultured bacterium
Lineage: Bacteria
Description: bacterial SSU rRNA
Rfam family: Bacterial small subunit ribosomal RNA
Source: RNAcentral